AUACGUAGGUGACAAGCGUUAUCCGGAUUUACUGGGCGUAAAGGGCGUGUAGGCGGUCUUGCAAGUCAGAAGUGAAAUUCCUGAGCUCAACUCGGGCGCUGCUUCUGAAACUGCAGGACUUGAGUGCUGGAGGGGAUAGCGGAAUUCCUAGUGGAGCGGUAAAAUGCGCAGAUAUUAGGAAGAACACCGGUGGCGAAGGCGGCUAUCUGGACAGUAACUGACGCUGAGGCGCGAAAGCGUGGGGAGCAAACAGGAUUAGAUACCCUGGUAGUCCACACUGUAAACGAUGAAUGCUAGGUGUAAGAGGUAUCGACCCCUUUGUGCCGGAGUCAACACAAUAAGCAUUCCGCCUGGGGAGUACAGCCGCAAGGUUGAAACUCAAAUGAAUUGGCGGGG
RNAcentral lists this ribosomal RNA (396 nucleotides) under uncultured bacterium. Its description in RNAcentral is "partial 16S ribosomal RNA". It matches the Rfam family "Bacterial small subunit ribosomal RNA", at positions 523 to 918 of the family's 1533-position model. The record is from RNAcentral.